ACCGUCUUUAUCUCGGGGUUGCGCAUCAUUCCAAUGAACGUUUAGUGAGGAUUGAUCUGCUAACACCACUAAAAUAUCAACGUGUCACCGACUCUCAGUUGGUCGGCACAAUUUUUGAGGCU
This 122-nucleotide non-coding RNA is filed under the name Capitella teleta. Its description in RNAcentral is "U4atac minor spliceosomal RNA". It matches the Rfam family "U4atac minor spliceosomal RNA". Rfam says of the family: U4atac is an essential component of the minor U12-type spliceosome complex which is required for removal of the rarer class of eukaryotic introns (AT-AC, U12-type). These interacting stem loops have been shown to be required for in vivo splicing. U4atac also contains an 3' Sm protein binding site which has been shown to be essential for splicing activity. Lineage: Eukaryota; Metazoa; Annelida; Polychaeta; Capitellidae. The record is from Rfam by way of RNAcentral.